GAUGAACGCUAGCUACAGGCUUAACACAUGCAAGUCGCGGGGCAGCAUGGGGGUUGCUUACAAUCCCCGAUGGCGACCGGCGCACGGGUGAGUAACGCGUAUCCAACCUGCCCUUCACCACGGGAUAACCCGGCGAAAGUCGGACUAAUACCGUAUGUUGUCCAUUGACGGCAUCCGAUUUGGACGAAAGGUUUGGCGGUGAAGGAUGGGGAUGCGUCCGAUUAGCUGGACGGCGGGGUGACGGCCCACCGUGGCGACGAUCGGUAGGGGUUCUGAGAGGAAGGUCCCCCACACUGGAACUGAGACACGGUCCAGACUCCUACGGGAGGCAGCAGUGAGGAAUAUUGGUCAAUGGGCGUAAGCCUGAACCAGCCAAGUAGCGUGCAGGAGGACGGCCCUAUGGGUUGUAAACUGCUUUUAUGCGGGGAUAAAGUGGCCCACGUGUGGGUUUUUGCAGGUACCGCAUGAAUAAGGACCGGCUAAUUCCGUG
RNAcentral lists this ribosomal RNA (490 nucleotides) under uncultured bacterium. Its description in RNAcentral is "partial 16S ribosomal RNA". It matches the Rfam family "Bacterial small subunit ribosomal RNA", at positions 28 to 507 of the family's 1533-position model. The record is from RNAcentral.